Molecule: ribosomal RNA, 253 nt
Filed under: uncultured bacterium
Lineage: Bacteria
Description: partial 16S ribosomal RNA
Rfam family: Bacterial small subunit ribosomal RNA
Source: RNAcentral
UACGGAGGGGGCAAGCGUUGUUCGGAAUUAUUGGGCGUAAAGCGUAUGUAGGCGGCUAAGUAAGUCAGGCGUGCAAGCCCGUGGCUCAACCACGGAAUUGCGUUUGAAACUGCUUAGCUUGAGUACAGGAGAGGAAAGCGGAAUUCCCAGUGUAGCGGUGAAAUGCAUUGAUAUUGGGAAGAACAUCUGUGGCGAAGGCGGCUUUCUGGUCUGUUACUGACGCUGAGAUACGAAAGCCAGGGGAGCAAAGGGG